RNAcentral lists this long non-coding RNA (481 nucleotides) under Capsicum annuum. RNAcentral's name for it is "long non-coding RNA (CANN_LNC014226)". The record is from RNAcentral. Lineage: Eukaryota; Viridiplantae; Streptophyta; Magnoliopsida; Solanales; Solanaceae.
CCCAAUUCCACAAAAUCAAAACCCAAUCCCCAUGCAUAACGUGUCAUUGAAAAAGCCAAUUUUGCAGAUACAGAGAAAAAACCCCAAUUUAAUUCUUUAAUUCUUGAAAAUGAAUAGGGAAUCAUAGGGAAUUCUCGGCUCAAUUCUUCAAUGCUUCAAUUGAAGCUGAAUAGAGAAUAUGAGAAAUAAAAGAUGAAUAUGCAACCUAAAAUCCUCACUUCAAAUUGUGCAAUCGGAGUUGAAUCAGAGCUGAGCAAUCAGAGAAAUUGGUUUAAAUUGUGUGACCUAAAACCCUCACUUCAAAUUGUGCAUUCUGAAUCUUUUUAAAGGGAUGAUUGAUCAAGCAUAUGAUGUUCAAUACCUAAUUCUUAAAUGUUCAAUCUGUUUAAAUUGUGAUAGUGAGUACCAGCCUAAAACCCUAGACAAAGGUACUAAAAAAUUUACUUUACUGUGAUAGUGUGUGUUUAUGGUUAUUUUUUUU